Long non-coding RNA from Xenia sp. Carnegie-2017, 702 nucleotides. RefSeq lists it as uncharacterized. The transcript has 3 exons. Lineage: Eukaryota; Metazoa; Cnidaria; Anthozoa; Malacalcyonacea; Xeniidae. The record is from RefSeq and is a predicted model, not a curated record.
UUUUCUUUAGCAAUAAUAAUUUCUUUGAGGUAUUAUUUAAUUGACGUCAGUUUUCAACACUUUCACGGAUCUUUGGUAUACGUAUAUUUUGCUUGACGCUUCUUUAUAUGUGCAGCUGUGCGUAUUUUGAAUUAUUCACAAAACGUACAAAAUAUUUAAAAACAGAUGCAAUUGCAAAUGCAAAUUGCGAUACAAUAAUAAACACAUGACGGACAAGAGAAAAUUACGAGAAACAAGUUCGAAGUAAAGUCUGUCAGAUUCCUGAUGACAGUUUAACCUAUCAGAUAAACGCUGGCGAUGAGAAAGGAUAUGAGAUUACGAAGAUUUCAAUAAAAACAGUGAACCUAAAAUUGACAUUAAAGACACAAAAAGAUUUUUAAAGAAAGGAUUUUCGGUCCUAAACUGUACGUUAACGCAGAAAUAUGUCCCACAAGAAGUAACCUUCAAAUGGUACAUUUGCCAAUUUGAUAUCUGUGAUGAAGAUAUGAACGAGAGAAAAUACAUUUCAUCCAACUAUUCUUUAACAGUAAAGAUAGAGGGCAGGUAUCGUUGUAGUGCCAACAAUAGCGGUGGAAUAGAUACGUCACCAAUAAUAUCAGUUGUCAAAGAAUCCAAACAAACAGGAUUUGGAAGAUAAUGAAAAAAUAAGAAAAUUAGAAAAAGUCACUGAAAGUUUCGAAGAUGGAGGCAGAAAUUGAUUUU